This is a long non-coding RNA of Ictalurus punctatus (channel catfish), 557 nucleotides long. NCBI's taxonomy places the organism in Eukaryota, Metazoa, Chordata, Actinopteri, Siluriformes, Ictaluridae. The record is from Ensembl.
UUGGACAUUACCAGUCCUAAUAGUGUUUUUAUGUGCUGCCACUCUAGCUUUUAUUUUCCACUAAAUCUCUGACUUCAGCAAUUUUUAGAAUUAUGCCUAGGAGCACCAAAUUUACAACCAGGUGCCAGUCAGGUCUACACUAUGGCCUGAUCAGCAUGAGCCAGUCAGGUCUACACAAUGACUGCAACACCAAGAGUAAGAACAGUCUACCCAAUGACCUAAACAUGAAGAUCCAGACUGGUCUGAACCAUGGCUCAAAAACUAGGAGCCAGUCAGAUCUACAUCAUAGCCAGUUGGGUCUACACCAUGACCCAAACCCCAGGAGUCAGUCAGGUCUACACCAUGAUCCAAACACAUCAGGUUUACCCUCUGGCCCAAACCCCAAGAGUCAGUCAGGUCUACAACAUGAUCCAAAAACAUCAGGUCUACACCAUGGCCCAAACAGGAGUCCUCCUGAUGUCCCGCAGGUAGGUUGUGGUUUGAAAUGUUUUCGCUCAGGUUACAUAAAUCCUUUUUAGCUUUUAUUUAUACCCCAAAAGAGUUCCUUAGCUCCUCAC